This 254-nucleotide ribosomal RNA is filed under the name uncultured bacterium. RNAcentral's name for it is "partial 16S ribosomal RNA". It matches the Rfam family "Bacterial small subunit ribosomal RNA", at positions 524 to 776 of the family's 1533-position model. The record is from RNAcentral.
UACGUAGGGUGCAAGCGUUACUCGGAAUUACUGGGCGUAAAGCGUGCGUAGGUGGUUUGUUAAGUCUGUUGUGAAAGCCCUGGGCUCAACCUGGGAAUUGCGAUGGAUACUGGCAAGCUAGAGUACGGUAGAGGAUGGUGGAAUUCCCGGUGUAGCGGUGAAAUGCGUAGAGAUCGGGAGGAACACCCGUGGCGAAGGGCGGCCAUCUGGACCAGUACUGACGCUGAGGCACGAAAGCGUGGGGAGCAAACAGG